GGGGUGUAGCUUAGUCCGGAUAAAGCGCACAUCUGGGGGGGUUAGAUCGGAGGUACAAAUCCUCUCACCCCCG
RNAcentral lists this transfer RNA (73 nucleotides) under Crocinitomicaceae bacterium. RNAcentral's name for it is "tRNA-OTHER". It matches the Rfam family "tRNA". From Rfam's summary of the family: Transfer RNA (tRNA) molecules are approximately 80 nucleotides in length. Their secondary structure includes four short double-helical elements and three loops (D, anti-codon, and T loops). Lineage: Bacteria; Pseudomonadati; Bacteroidota; Flavobacteriia; Flavobacteriales; Crocinitomicaceae. The record is from RNAcentral.